GGAGAUGAGCCCAGCGCUGAAUCACCGAUUGCGUCAAUUGAUGACCCGGUGAGCUGUAGCGUAUAGGUGCAGCUAUCCUGGUGUUUUGUGCGCUCAAAGUCCCCUUGAGCGGGGCCACCGUCCAUAGAAGGUGCUAGACCUGUGCGGGCGACGAAUCACUGGGUGUGCUGUUCCUUGGAGUCGGGUUGCCUGAGAUCGCAGCCCAAAGUGGGUGGUAAACCUCAUCUAAGGCUAAAUAUGGCCACGAGACCGAUAGCAAACAAGUACCGUGAGGGAAAGUUGCAAAGAACUCUGAAGAGAGAGUUCAAGAGGGCGUGAAACCGCUGGGAUGGAAGCGAAUAGAGUCGACGAAACCUGUCUUCCAUCAUUCAACCGAUCAGCUCUGCGGUCUGUCACCGCGCUACCGUACGCAACACUGCGGAGUGUGUCGGUGGUGGUCACUGCUGAGUGGAGCUAGGCCUGUGUGAUCGGUGCAUUUGAUGGCGGUAUGCGCCGAGAGCCGCGUCACGGUGUGCGUCAACGUCUGCCUGGUGCAGUGGACCGUUGUACGUCUUCGGACGGGCGGAAACCUGCAUUCGACCGAGGCGCAUCACAGAUGCGGUGAACAGCCGUGUACAGCAGUCCCCAGGCGCUUGCCCGCGCCUUGCGCCUGUCGGCCUGACCGUGUGGCGGUGCGUACUGCGAGUGCUUCGCGGCGCGCAGUGCGUCCGUUUGCGGUCUGGCCACGGUCGUUUUGUGUGCGUUGGGACUGUGCCUCGGUGUGAGUGUCGAUCACCUAUUCGACCCGUCUUGAAACACGGACCAAGGAGUCUAGCAUAUGCGCAAGUUAUUGGGUGGUAAACCCGGAGAAAACGCA
RNAcentral lists this ribosomal RNA (856 nucleotides) under Rhabdochona osorioi. RNAcentral describes it as "partial 28S ribosomal RNA". It matches the Rfam family "Eukaryotic large subunit ribosomal RNA", at positions 99 to 718 of the family's 3401-position model. The record is from RNAcentral. Lineage: Eukaryota; Metazoa; Nematoda; Chromadorea; Rhabditida; Rhabdochonidae.